GACGAACGCUGGCGGCGUGCUUAACACAUGCAAGUCGAACGGAAAGGCCUGCUUUUCCUUGUGGACUGCGGGUACUAGCGUGGCGAACGGGUGAGUAACACGUGAGUUAUAUGUCCCCAACUUGGGUAUAAGCCUGGGAUACUGGGUCUAAUUCCCGCUAGGACUGCAGGGUGGUGGCUGUGGUGGAAAACGAUUUUCUAGUGGUUGGGGAUGAGCUCGCGGCCUAUCAGCUUGGUGGUGGGGUAAUGGCCUACCAAGGCGGCGUCGGGUAGCCUGCAUGGGAGGGUGGACGGCGAGAUUGGGACGGAGAAUUGGCCCAGAGUCCUGCGGGAGGCAGCUGUGGGGGGUAGUAGACGGUGAUCGGGAGCCAGGGGCAGAGACGUCACGUAGGGGAUGACGGCCUUCGAGUUGUAAACUCCUUUCGAACGCGAGGUAGGCACCUGGUUAGGAGGGUUGUGACGGUAGUUGUAGAAGAAGCACCGGCUAACUACGUG
Molecule: ribosomal RNA, 494 nt
Filed under: uncultured bacterium
Lineage: Bacteria
Description: partial 16S ribosomal RNA
Rfam family: Bacterial small subunit ribosomal RNA
Source: RNAcentral